CCUACGGGUGGCUGCCGUGGGGAAUAUUGCACAAUGGGGGAAACCCUGAUGCAGCAACGCCGCGUGAAGGAAGACGGUUGUCGGAUUGUUAACCUCUGUUCUUAGGGAAGAAUAAUGACGCCAGCUAAGGAGUAAGACCUAGCUAACUACGUGCGAGCAGCCGCGGUAAUACGAAGGUGGCAAGCGUGGGCCGGAAUUACUGGGUGUAAAGGGAGCGCAGGCGGGAAGCCAAGUCAGCUGUGAAAGCUACAGGCCUAACUUGUAGACUGCAGUUGAAACUGGUUUUCUUGAGUGAAGUAGAGGUAGGCGGAAUUCCGGGUGUAGCGGUGAAAUGCGUAGAUAUUCGGAGGAACACCGAUGGCGAAGGCGGCCUACUGAGCUUUAACUGACGCUGAGGCUCGAAAGUGUGGGGAGCAAACAGGAUUAGAUACCCCUGUAGUC
This 441-nucleotide ribosomal RNA is filed under the name uncultured bacterium. Its description in RNAcentral is "partial 16S ribosomal RNA". It matches the Rfam family "Bacterial small subunit ribosomal RNA", at positions 338 to 795 of the family's 1533-position model. The record is from RNAcentral.